This 1038-nucleotide ribosomal RNA is filed under the name Lactobacillus delbrueckii subsp. bulgaricus. Its description in RNAcentral is "bacterial SSU rRNA". It matches the Rfam family "Bacterial small subunit ribosomal RNA", at positions 1 to 1006 of the family's 1533-position model. Lineage: Bacteria; Bacillati; Bacillota; Bacilli; Lactobacillales; Lactobacillaceae. The record is from RNAcentral.
UUAAAUUGAGAGUUUGAUCCUGGCUCAGGACGAACGCUGGCGGCGUGCCUAAUACAUGCAAGUCGAGCGAGCUGAAUUCAAAGAUUCCUUCGGGAUGAUUUGUUGGACGCUAGCGGCGGAUGGGUGAGUAACACGUGGGCAAUCUGCCCUAAAGACUGGGAUACCACUUGGAAACAGGUGCUAAUACCGGAUAACAACAUGAAUCGCAUGAUUCAAGUUUGAAAGGCGGCGUAAGCUGUCACUUUAGGAUGAGCCCGCGGCGCAUUAGCUAGUUGGUGGGGUAAAGGCCUACCAAGGCAAUGAUGCGUAGCCGAGUUGAGAGACUGAUCGGCCACAUUGGGACUGAGACACGGCCCAAACUCCUACGGGAGGCAGCAGUAGGGAAUCUUCCACAAUGGACGCAAGUCUGAUGGAGCAACGCCGCGUGAGUGAAGAAGGUUUUCGGAUCGUAAAGCUCUGUUGUUGGUGAAGAAGGAUAGAGGCAGUAACUGGUCUUUAUUUGACGGUAAUCAACCAGAAAGUCACGGCUAACUACGUGCCAGCAGCCGCGGUAAUACGUAGGUGGCAAGCGUUGUCCGGAUUUAUUGGGCGUAAAGCGAGCGCAGGCGGAAUGAUAAGUCUGAUGUGAAAGCCCACGGCUCAACCGUGGAACUGCAUCGGAAACUGUCAUUCUUGAGUGCAGAAGAGGAGAGUGGAAUUCCAUGUGUAGCGGUGGAAUGCGUAGAUAUAUGGAAGAACACCAGUGGCGAAGGCGGCUCUCUGGUCUGCAACUGACGCUGAGGCUCGAAAGCAUGGGUAGCGAACAGGAUUAGAUACCCUGGUAGUCCAUGCCGUAAACGAUGAGCGCUAGGUGUUGGGGACUUUCCGGUCCUCAGUGCCGCAGCAAACGCAUUAAGCGCUCCGCCUGGGGAGUACGACCGCAAGGUUGAAACUCAAAGGAAUUGACGGGGGCCCGCACAAGCGGUGGAGCAUGUGGUUUAAUUCGAAGCAACGCGAAGAACCUUACCAGGUCUUGACAUCCUGCGCUACACCUAGAGA